Long non-coding RNA from Argiope bruennichi, 505 nucleotides. RefSeq lists it as uncharacterized. Lineage: Eukaryota; Metazoa; Arthropoda; Arachnida; Araneae; Araneidae. The record is from RefSeq and is a predicted model, not a curated record. The transcript is spliced from 3 exons.
UCAGCCGUUAUAGAGUCGUGCAUAACAGAAGAAAGAUUGUUUAUGCUGGAUGUAAAUAAAAGAGAUAAUUGCUCGUAAAUUGCUGAAUAAUUUUGAUUAUCUGCAGAUGGUAUGAAUUGUUUUAAAAUAAAAUUAGGGAUUAUUUUUUUUCUAUGAGUGGAGUAAAUCGACUAGACAGUAUCUUGAGCUUGAUCAGAAAGAAAUUCCCUAAGUUUACACAGAUGAUAUUACAUAAAUGCAUUCUUAAUGCAAUUUAAAGAUAAAUUCACAUCUUAGGAUGCCAAAUCAUAAUUGUUCCUCAAAAGCUUGAAGAGUAUAUUGCUGGCUCUGUAUGUAUGAGAGGGAAAAUUCUUUUACAAAAUUAUCAUUCUAACGUUUUCAACUUUUUUUUUUUCGACAAAAAUCAGUUUGCAACUUACAAAUUAGAAGCUUCUAUCAAGACUAUUCAUGUUAAAGUAUUUGGAAUUGAUUUGAAAGCCUUUGGUAGCCCUUACAAAUAUUCCUG